UCCAAUGUGGUGUAGUGGUUAACAUUGCUGUCUUUCAUGUGAAUGUAUCCUGCCUGAAUACACAGCAGCCCGGGGUUCGAUUCCCCGCAUUGGAA
Non-coding RNA from Marasmius fiardii PR-910, 95 nucleotides. NCBI's taxonomy places the organism in Eukaryota, Fungi, Basidiomycota, Agaricomycetes, Agaricales, Marasmiaceae. The record is from the annotation of a GenBank genome assembly.